GUUCUGGAAAGAACAGCCGUAGAGGGUGAUAGCCCCGUAUAUGAAAGGCAUAUUAAGAUGAUAAAUGAGUAGGGCGGGACACGUGAAAUCCUGUCUGAAUAUGGGGGGACCAUCCUCCAAGGCUAAAUACUCCUGAAAGACCGAUAGUGAACAAGUACUGUGAAGGAAAGGUGAAAAGCACUUCGAAUAGAAGGGUGAAAUAGAACCUGAAACCGUACGCCUACAAGCGGUCGGAGCAGCAUACAGCUGUGACGGCGUGCCUUUUGCAUAAUGAGCCUACGAGUUAAUUUUACUAGCGAGGUUAAGGUAUUAAGUACCGGAGCCGGAGCGAAAGCGAGUCUGAAUAGGGCGCAUAGUUAGUAGGAUUAGACGCGAAACCUUGUGAUCUACCCAUGGGCAGGUUGAAGCUCUGGUAACACAGAGUGGAGGACCGAACCGGUUGACGUUGAAAAGUCUUCGGAUGACCUGUGGGUAGGGGUGAAAGGCCAAUCAAACUGGGAGAUAGCUCGUACUCUCCGAAAUGCAUUUAGGUGCAGCGUCGUAUAUAAGUUUAUUAGAGGUAGAGCUACUGAUUGGAUGCGGGGGUUUCAUCGCCUACCAAUUCCUGACAAACUCCGAAUGCUAAUAAAUGUUCUACGGCAGUGAGGGCAUGGGUGCUAAGGUCCAUGUCCGAGAGGGAAAGAACCCAGACCAACAGCUAAGGUCCCAAAAUAUAUGUUAAGUUGAAACAACGCGGUUGGACUGCAUUGACAGCUAGGAUGUUGGCUUGGAAGCAGCCAUUCAUUUAAAGAGUGCGUAACAGCUCACUAGUCGAGCGGUCCG
RNAcentral lists this ribosomal RNA (822 nucleotides) under Chryseobacterium metallicongregator. RNAcentral's name for it is "partial 23S ribosomal RNA". It matches the Rfam family "Bacterial large subunit ribosomal RNA", at positions 339 to 1160 of the family's 2925-position model. Lineage: Bacteria; Pseudomonadati; Bacteroidota; Flavobacteriia; Flavobacteriales; Weeksellaceae. The record is from RNAcentral.